GACGAACGCUGGCGGCGUGCUUAACACAUGCAAGUCGAACGGAAAGGCCCUGCUUGCAGGGUACUCGAGUGGCGAACGGGUGAGUAGCACGUGGGUGAUCUGCCCUGCACUUCGGGAUAAGCCUGGGAAACUGGGUCUAAUACCGGAUAGGAGCCAUUUUUAGUGUGAUGGUUGGAAAGUUUUUUCGGUGUAGGAUGAGCUCGCGGCCUAUCAGCUUGUUGGUGGGGUAAUGGCCUACCAAGGCGGCGACGGGUAGCCGGCCUGAGAGGGUGGACGGCCACAUUGGGACUGAGAUACGGCCCAGACUCCUACGGGAGGCAGCAGUGGGGAAUAUUGCACAAUGGGCGCAAGCCUGAUGCAGCGACGCCGCGGGGGGGAUGACGGCCUUCGGGUUGUAAACUCCUUUCGCUAGGGACGAAGCUUUUUGUGACGGUACCUAGAUAAGAAGCACCGGCUAACUACGUG
Molecule: ribosomal RNA, 465 nt
Filed under: uncultured bacterium
Lineage: Bacteria
Description: partial 16S ribosomal RNA
Rfam family: Bacterial small subunit ribosomal RNA
Source: RNAcentral